This 74-nucleotide transfer RNA is filed under the name Marmota monax (woodchuck). RNAcentral's name for it is "tRNA.Ala". Lineage: Eukaryota; Metazoa; Chordata; Mammalia; Rodentia; Sciuridae. The record is from RNAcentral.
GGUCAUGUAGCUCAGUGGCAAAGCACUCACCCAGCAUGUGAGAGACCAGGGGUUUGAGUCCCAGCAAAAGAUCA